This 148-nucleotide non-coding RNA is filed under the name Homo sapiens (human). The record is from Rfam by way of RNAcentral. Lineage: Eukaryota; Metazoa; Chordata; Mammalia; Primates; Hominidae.
GCCAGGCAUGGUGGCGUGUGCCUGUAAUUCCAGCUACUCAGGAGGCUGAGGCAGGAGAAUCACUUGAACCCGGGAGGCAGAGGUUGCAGUGAGCCGAGAUUGUGCCACUGCAUUCCAGCCUGGGUGACAGAGUGAGACUCUGUCUUAA